RNAcentral lists this transfer RNA (73 nucleotides) under Bacteroidetes bacterium QS_8_64_10. Its description in RNAcentral is "tRNA-Gly". It matches the Rfam family "tRNA". Rfam says of the family: Transfer RNA (tRNA) molecules are approximately 80 nucleotides in length. Their secondary structure includes four short double-helical elements and three loops (D, anti-codon, and T loops). Further hydrogen bonds mediate the characteristic L-shaped molecular structure. tRNAs have two regions of fundamental functional importance: the anti-codon, which is responsible for specific mRNA codon recognition, and the 3' end, to which the tRNAs corresponding amino acid is attached (by aminoacyl-tRNA synthetases). tRNAs cope with the degeneracy of the genetic code in two manners: having more than one tRNA (with a specific anti-codon) for a particular amino acid; and 'wobble' base-pairing, i.e. permitting non-standard base-pairing at the 3rd anti-codon position. Lineage: Bacteria; Pseudomonadati; Bacteroidota. The record is from RNAcentral.
GCGGAAGUAGCUCAGCGGCUAGAGCAUCUCCUUGCCAUGGAGAAGGUCGCGGGUUCGAAUCCCGUCUUCCGCU